UUCUCAUCAGAUGAAACCUUUUUACAGGGUCAUUUCUAAUUGUAAGACCUGUGCUUGUAGAAGAAAAUAAAUGCUUUGGAGCACAGCUGGGAUUUUGCUAAUAUCUAGAGUGUGAUGAAAAGGGUGGAAAAGCAAGGGAAAUUAUGGCCCUAUCACCACCUCUUCCAGUGAGGCUUGUACAAGAGACUGAUUAUAUGAGAAAGGGAAAAUUGUACUAGUCUAAACAUAGUCUUCUCAUUCAAGUUUUUAACAGACAGGUAACAAACUCUGUUUGAGCUGCCAAAGAAUUGCCAAGAUAUGACCUUUUAAAUUCUUCAGACGAUGGGGAAAAAAGAUCAAUGUGAAAUGGAUGGAUUGAGACUGAAAAGCUGGAGAAAGAAGGGAAGCAUUGCCCACCCUGAAGGCUAAAAACAGUGAAGAAAUAGGCCUAAUUCAGCAGAGAGAAGAAGCUUAAUAGUUCUCUUUAAAAGAAUCAGCCUUUCUCUUCACAAAGACAUUUGAAUAUUAUCAGAACUGAAAUGUUCACUAUCAGAAGUGUUUACCGGUGUUAUAAAGAUCUAAUUGUGAGGGUUCUUCUGAAAGUAAAAAAGAAAAUUAUAUAGUGAUGCCAGAAUGAUGGGGAGAAGAGUGUGAAGUGUGUGUUCUCAGUCCAGAACAGUGCAUUCAAAAAUGGAGCAAUUAAAUGGAAUUUCUUUCAUCCUUUCAAGUGUAACAGAAACCAAUAAAAAUGAAAAUAUAAGUUAAUAAAGGCAAGAGCAUAACUAGCAAUUUUACCAAAUUAGGAAAAAAAAAUAAUAAUUCAAUGACAGAGCUAUGGAAUUAAAAGAAGCUGGACCAUCAGCAUCUUUAAAAUUCAAGUGAGACAGUGCAUAAAUAAUAAUGAUACGGAACAACUGAUAUUUGUAGAAAAAAAAAUGACUGACACUGGAUUAAAGCUCACCUACUACAUGUAACUGACUUCUCACUGCAUGUAAAAAAAAUGAACUAAAAUUGUAUCUUAUAUAUAGUGUUGGUAAUAAGUCCUUAAAGCUGAAAGCUCAAAUACAUUUAGACAUGUAUUAGUUUUCUGUGGUACCAGACAGAUUUACUUUAUUUAUCAGCCUUAUCUAGGAUCAUCUCCUUCCUCAAGUGGGAAGCAAUGAAAUGCAAGGUAAAUAUAUGAAGGCAUGGUGUCAUCUUUUUUUUUUCUUUCUUUUUUUUUUUCUUUCCUUUUUUAAAAUCUUCUUUUAUCUAGUUAGUUAUUUAAACAUUUACCUUGGCCUUUUUGUGAGGGUAUCAACAAAUUCAGUGUCAUAUUGAAAAGUAUGAGUCUGAUCUUAUGUGCAUAUAUAGGGAGAUAUGAAUCCAGAGUCAUUCCCUACUCAAAAAUGCUCUUCGGAUGUUUCACAUAUAUUCAUUUCAUCUUUUCUUUCUAUCUGCUUUAGUCCUCUCUCUUGGGUCUCAGCAUCUGCUUACAGCUCUAUUCCCUCCAAAACACCAAAUCCUAUUUAGAACAUAUUCAGGACAUAGCUCCUGAUUUUGAAGCAAUCUGUCAUUUUUAUGAGGAGUUCUGACUCAUUUUUAUGGGAGGCCUAAGGGACAAAUGGCAUGCAGCAUGCCAGAAGAGAGUGAUUAGCCUGCCAAACUUGAAAUCUCUAGCAAACGCCCAUUGCUGUUCUAAUUAACUUUCUGCAUUCACCAUUUGCAUAAAUAAAUUACUUAGUUGAAGCUU
This is a long non-coding RNA of Tympanuchus pallidicinctus (lesser prairie-chicken), 1711 nucleotides long. RefSeq lists it as uncharacterized. Lineage: Eukaryota; Metazoa; Chordata; Aves; Galliformes; Phasianidae. The record is from RefSeq and is a predicted model, not a curated record. The transcript has 3 exons.